GAUGAACGCUGGCGGCGUGCCUAAUACAUGCAAGUCGAGCGAACAGACGAGGAGCUUGCUCCUCUGACGUUUGCGGCGGACGGGUGAGUAACACGUUGAUAACCUACCUUUAAGACUUGGAUAACUUCGGGAAACCGGAGCUAAUACCGGAUAAUAUAUUUAACCGCAUUGUUUAAUAGUGAAAUACGGUUUUUCUGUCACUUAUAGAUUGAUCCGCGCCGCAUUAUCUAGUUGGUAAGGUAACGGCUUACCAAGGCAACGAUGCGUAGCCGACCUGAGAGGGUGAUAGGCCACACUGGAACUGAGACACGGUCCAGACUCCUACGGGAGGCAGCAGUAGGGAAUCUUCCGCAAUGGGCGAAAGCCUGACGGAGCAACGCCGCGUGAGUGAUGAAGGUCUUCGGAUCGUAAAACUCUGUUAUUAGGGAAGAACAAAUGUGUAAGUAACUAUGCACGUCUUGACGGUACCUAAUCAGAAAGCCACGGCUAACUACGUG
Molecule: ribosomal RNA, 497 nt
Filed under: uncultured bacterium
Lineage: Bacteria
Description: partial 16S ribosomal RNA
Rfam family: Bacterial small subunit ribosomal RNA
Source: RNAcentral